AGAAGGACCGGCUAACUACGUGCCAGCAGCCGCGGUAAUACGUAGGUCCCGAGCGUUAUCCGGAAUUAUUGGGCGUAAAGGGCACGUAGGCGGACAAAUAAGUUUGAUGUCAAAUAUGAUGGCUCAACCAUCAAGAGGCGUUGAAAACUGUUUAUCUAGAAUCUCGGAGAGGUAAGUGGAAAUUCCAUGUGUAGCGGUGGAAUGCGUAGAUAUAUGGAGGAACACCAAUGGCGAAGGCAGCUUACUGGACGAAGAUUGACGCUGACGGUGCGAAAGCGUGGGUAGCCAAACAGGAUUAGAUACCCUGGUAG
This 311-nucleotide ribosomal RNA is filed under the name uncultured bacterium. RNAcentral describes it as "bacterial SSU rRNA". It matches the Rfam family "Bacterial small subunit ribosomal RNA", at positions 486 to 793 of the family's 1533-position model. The record is from RNAcentral.